UGGGGAAUUUUGCACAAUGGGGGAAACCCUGAUGCAGCGACGCCGCGUGAUUUAGAAGGCCUUCUGGUUGUAAAAAUCUUUUCUAUGGGAAGAAAAUGACAGUACCAUAGGAAUAAGGACCGGCUAAUUACGUGCCAGCAGCCGCGGUAAUACGUAAGGUCCGAGCGUUGUACGGAAUCAUUGGGCGUAAAGGGUACGUAGGCGGGUAAGCAAGUUAGAAGUGAAAUCCUAUAGCUCAACUAUAGUAAGCUUUUAAAACUGCUCAUCUUGAGGUAUGGAAGGGAAAGUGGAAUUCCUAGUGUAGCGGUGAAAUGCGCAGAUAGUAGGAGAAGUACCGGUGGCGAAGGCGACUUUCUGGCCAUAACCUGACGCUGAGGUACGAAAGCGUGGGUAGCAAACAGG
Molecule: ribosomal RNA, 402 nt
Filed under: bacterium
Lineage: Bacteria
Description: partial 16S ribosomal RNA
Rfam family: Bacterial small subunit ribosomal RNA
Source: RNAcentral